GACGAACGCUGGCGGCGUGCUUAACACAUGCAAGUCGAACGGAAAGGCCCUGCUUUUGUGGGGUGCUCGAGUGGCGAACGGGUGAGUAACACGUGAGUAACCUGCCCUUGACUUUGGGAUAACUUCAGGAAACUGGGGCUAAUACCGGAUAGGAGCUCCUGCUGCAUGGUGGGGGUUGGAAAGUUUCGGCGGUUGGGGAUGGACUCGCGGCUUAUCAGCUUGUUGGUGGGGUAGUGGCUUACCAAGGCUUUGACGGGUAGCCGGCCUGAGAGGGUGACCGGCCACAUUGGGACUGAGAUACGGCCCAGACGCCUACGGGAGGCAGCAGUGGGGAAUAUUGCACAAUGGGCGGAAGCCAGAUGCAGCAACGCCGCGUGCGGGAUGACGGCCUUCGGGUGGUAAACCGCUUUCGCCUGUGACGAAGCGUGAGUGACGGUAAUGGGUAAAGAAGCACCGGCUAACUACGUG
RNAcentral lists this ribosomal RNA (468 nucleotides) under uncultured bacterium. RNAcentral's name for it is "partial 16S ribosomal RNA". It matches the Rfam family "Bacterial small subunit ribosomal RNA", at positions 28 to 507 of the family's 1533-position model. The record is from RNAcentral.